AGUGAACGCUGGCGGUAGGCCUAACACAUGCAAGUCGAACGGCAGCACAGUAAGAGCUUGCUCUUACGGGUGGCGAGUGGCGGACGGGUGAGGAAUACAUCGCAAUCUACUUUUUCGUGGCGGAUAACGAAGGGAAACUUAUGCUAAUACCGCAUACGACCUACGGCUGAAAGCAGGGGAUCUUCGGACCUUGCGCGAUUGAAUGAGCCGAUGUCGGAUUAGCUAGUUGGCGGGGUAAAGGCCCACCAAGGCGACGAUCCGUAGCUGGUCUGAGAGGAUGAUCAGCCACACUGGAACUGAGACACGGUCCAGACUCCUACGGGAGGCAGCAGUGGGGAAUAUUGGACAAUGGGCGCAAGCCUGAUCCAGCAAUACCGCGUGGGUGAAGAAGGACUUCGGGUUGUAAAACCCUUUUGUUGGGAAAGAAAAGCAGCAGGUUAAUACCCCGCUGUUCUGACGGUACCCAAAGAAUAAGCACCGGCUAACUUCGUG
RNAcentral lists this ribosomal RNA (492 nucleotides) under uncultured bacterium. RNAcentral's name for it is "partial 16S ribosomal RNA". It matches the Rfam family "Bacterial small subunit ribosomal RNA", at positions 29 to 507 of the family's 1533-position model. The record is from RNAcentral.